UCCUGCCUAGACCCCCUAUAAAACACAGAGGAACUGCCUGUUUCCCUCUCUCUCGCCCUGCUUCCCUGCUUGCCAGCAUCACCACCCUGUGUCCUGCUACUCUUUGUUUCACCACGCAGCCGUAACCCUUGAGGAGGACAAACCACUGCCAUCACAUCUGGUCCAAGAUCUACAAUAACUCAGACUUGGGAGCCCUGUGAAGUUUGCAGAACCAAGCUCUACUCAGCUCCAGGCAUUUAUACAUGACGCAUACACUCAUCAGCUCUCGCUGCUGUUGUUUCUCUGCCAAUCACCUUACUCAACGUGAAGAUGUGUCACAACACUCUGCAAACAUGGAAACAGCCACUUUAAUCAGCCAUAUUUUCCCCAUCUGCAGAGUUGGCUGACAUGGUGACUGUUCUGGUCAGUUGUACAGUGCCCAGAGGCUCUUUGUUUCCCUGAAAGAAUUAUUGUAAGACAGCAGGAAACAACCAAAAUAAAUUCUUAACUUGGAAA
This is a long non-coding RNA of Pogoniulus pusillus (Red-fronted tinkerbird), 495 nucleotides long. RefSeq lists it as uncharacterized. The transcript has 3 exons. The record is from RefSeq and is a predicted model, not a curated record. NCBI's taxonomy places the organism in Eukaryota, Metazoa, Chordata, Aves, Piciformes, Lybiidae.